ACACCCCUGCUGUGUUCGUGAUGCGCGUCAAGUUUUGAGCCAACACACGUAAAGAGGGAGCCGGAGUCCUUUCGGCGCUGUAGUAGCCCGCACGGGCGAGGCAAUAACCGAUAGGCAAGGCAACCCACCUGCGAGAGCAGGUUCAAAACUCGAGCACACGGCAUGGCGGGGGUGUC
RNAcentral lists this non-coding RNA (176 nucleotides) under Anaerolineae bacterium. RNAcentral's name for it is "6S RNA". It matches the Rfam family "6S / SsrS RNA". From Rfam's summary of the family: E. coli 6S RNA was the first non coding RNA to be sequenced, but its function was unknown until recently. It consists of 184 nucleotides that fold into an extended hairpin structure with a large single-stranded internal bulge. Lineage: Bacteria; Bacillati; Chloroflexota; Anaerolineae. The record is from RNAcentral.